ACUAAAUACAUCAGUCGUAGUUUAUACAUUUAAUGAAAAUUACUAUUCAGAAUUUUGAUUUUAUUCUUCCAACAUUCUACAACAAAAUCAAACGCUUCCAUUAUUUCAAACGAUGCCUACUUCAGGUGCAGAUCUGGUAUUAAAAAUACUCAACAUCCCAUGGAGUUCUCCUUGCAAUAAAUGGUAUUGCUUCCUUUAUUUGGGAAUAUCGGGGGAACUACUAAGAGAAGGACCAUUCGACAGGAAUGCAGACCUUCGUUUUACGAUCCAUUUGAAGAAAAAAAUUCUACUUAAAUGGGCUGUUUUAGCUUCAACUGGCAUGAGUUACAUCUGAACUCGACGAUCGAGAGGAAAAUCGAAGGAAGGUGGAAAUAAAAAUUUAGUUGCUUUCCCUAAUUAUAGAAAGCGGUAUGGCAAGGUCCAAACAUUUAUUGGGCCGUCUUUCUGAAAGUGAUUAUUGCACCUUAAUCAAGGCCUUCUGUUUAAUCGUGUAAAUUAUGAGAAUAUUAAACAGCACUUCAAAAAAUAACUGAAAUUGUUGAAUAGCCAAAAAACGAAAUAAUCAAAGAAGAAACAUCAAGA
This is a long non-coding RNA of Dendroctonus ponderosae (mountain pine beetle), 582 nucleotides long. RefSeq lists it as uncharacterized. The transcript is spliced from 3 exons. The record is from RefSeq and is a predicted model, not a curated record. Lineage: Eukaryota; Metazoa; Arthropoda; Insecta; Coleoptera; Curculionidae.